GAUGAACGCUGGCGGCGUGCCUAAUACAUGCAAGUCGAGCGAACAGAUAAGGAGCUUGCUCCUUUGACGUUAGCGGCGGACGGGUGAGUAACACGUGGGUAACCUACCUAUAAGACUGGGAUAACUUCGGGAAACCGGAGCUAAUACCGGAUAACAUUUGGAACCGCAUGGUUCUAAAGUGAAAGAUGGUUUUGCUAUCACUUAUAGAUGGACCCGCGCCGUAUUAGCUAGUUGGUAAGGUAACGGCUUACCAAGGCAACGAUACGUAGCCGACCUGAGAGGGUGGUCGGCCACACUGGAACUGAGACACGGUCCAGACUCCUACGGGAGGCAGCAGUAGGGAAUCUUCCGCAAUGGGCGAAAGCCUGACGGAGCAACGCCGCGUGAGUGAUGAAGGGUUUCGGCUCGUAAAACUCUGUUAUUAGGGAAGAACAAACGUGUAAGUAACUGUGCACGUCUUGACGGUACCUAAUCAGAAAGCCACGGCUAACUACGUG
RNAcentral lists this ribosomal RNA (497 nucleotides) under uncultured bacterium. RNAcentral describes it as "partial 16S ribosomal RNA". It matches the Rfam family "Bacterial small subunit ribosomal RNA", at positions 28 to 507 of the family's 1533-position model. The record is from RNAcentral.